UGGGCGUAAAGAGCUCGUAGGCGGUUUGUCGCGUCUGCCGUGAAAGUCCGGGGCUCAACUCGGGAUCUGCGGUGGGUACGGGCAGACUAGAGUGAUGUAGGGGAGACUGGAAUUCCUGGUGUAGCGGUGAAAUGCGCAGAUAUCAGGAGGAACACCGAUGGCGAAGGCAGGUCUCUGGGCAUUAACUGACGCUGAGGAGCGAAAGCAUGGGGAGCGAACAGGAUUAGAUACCCUGGUAGUCCAUGCCGUAAACGUUGGGCACUAGGUGUGGGGGACAUUCCACGUUUUCCGCGCCGUAGCUAACGCAUUAAGUGCCCCGCCUGGGGAGUACGGCCGCAAGGCUAAAACUCAAAGGAAUUGACGGGGGCCCGCACAAGCGGCGGAGCAUGCGGAUUAAUUCGAUGCAACGCGAAGAACCUUACCAAGGCUUGACAUGAACCGGUAAUACCUGGAAACAGGUGCCCCGCUUGCGGUCGGUUUACAGGUGGUGCAUGGUUGUCGUCAGCUCGUGUCGUGAGAUGUUGGGUUAAGUCCCGCAACGAGCGCAACCCUCGUUCUAUGUUGCCAGCGCGUUAUGGCGGGGACUCAUAGGAGACUGCCGGGGUCAACUCGGAGGAAGGUGGGGACGACGUCAAAUCAUCAUGCCCCUUAUGUCUUGGGCUUCACGCAUGCUACAAUGGCCGGUACAAAGGGUUGCGAUACUGUGAGGUGGAGCUAAUCCCAAAAAGCCGGUCUCAGUUCGGAUUGGGGUCUGCAACUCGACCCCAUGAAGUCGGAGUCGCUAGUAAUCGCAGAUCAGCAACGCUGCGGUGAAUACGUUCCCGGGCCUUGUACACACCGCCCGUCAAGUCACGAAAGUUGGUAACACCCGAAGCCGGUGGCCUAACCC
This 889-nucleotide ribosomal RNA is filed under the name Pseudarthrobacter sp. RNAcentral describes it as "bacterial SSU rRNA". It matches the Rfam family "Bacterial small subunit ribosomal RNA", at positions 555 to 1441 of the family's 1533-position model. The record is from RNAcentral. Lineage: Bacteria; Bacillati; Actinomycetota; Actinomycetes; Micrococcales; Micrococcaceae.